CAUCACUACACCGCCACUACUACACCGCCACUACCCAGUCACUAGCAUAGCCACCACUACCCAGUCACUAGCAUAGCCACCACUACCCAGUCACUAGCAUAGCCACCACUACACCAUCACUAGCAUAGCCACCACUACCCAGUCACUAGCAUAGCCACCACUACACCAUCACUAGCAUAGCCACCACUACACCAUCACUAGCAUAGCCACCACUACACCAUCACUAGCAUAGCCACCACUACCCAGUCCCUAGCAUAGCCACCACUACCCAGUCCCUAGCAUAGCCACCACUACCCAGUCCCUAGCAUAGCCACCACUACCCAGUCCCUAGCAUAGCCACCACUACCCAGUCCCUAGCAUAGCCACCACUACCCAGUCCCUAGCAUAGCCAC
Molecule: long non-coding RNA, 392 nt
Organism: Oncorhynchus keta (chum salmon)
Lineage: Eukaryota; Metazoa; Chordata; Actinopteri; Salmoniformes; Salmonidae
Exons: 3
Source: RefSeq, a predicted model, not a curated record